RNAcentral lists this small RNA (166 nucleotides) under Sinorhizobium meliloti 2011. RNAcentral describes it as "putative ncRNA". The record is from RNAcentral. Lineage: Bacteria; Pseudomonadati; Pseudomonadota; Alphaproteobacteria; Hyphomicrobiales; Rhizobiaceae.
GGGCGAGGCCCGAUUAGCCGAUUUUCGCGAGAUUGAGCGCGGGAAGCGGCCCGCCCGGAAGCUUGCGCGUCCAGCAUGGCGUAACAGCGUUCUUCGGCCUCGGAAGCCGUUACGUUGGGCCAGGCGCCUGCCGCAUGCAGUGGCCGGGUCGGCCUGCUGCCCUGCU